RNAcentral lists this long non-coding RNA (4746 nucleotides) under Homo sapiens (human). Its description in RNAcentral is "HSALNT0028487". The record is from RNAcentral. Lineage: Eukaryota; Metazoa; Chordata; Mammalia; Primates; Hominidae.
GCCAUCAGCACCCCUUUCCACGAAGAUGUCUGGUGUUCACUCUCAGAUGAAGAGAGGGAGUACUCAAACUCUAGGAUUCCUCAUAGCCCAAUAGACAGCAGCUUAACAGAAUUUCAACAGAAUGUUAAUUACACACAUAUAAUGAAUACUAUGCAUCAGGUAUUGUUCAAAUAACUUUACAAAUAUUAACUCAUUUAGCCUUAUACUACCCUAAUGAGGCAGGUAAAAUUAUUACCCCCAUUUUAUAGAGGAGGAAAUUGGGGCACAGAGAGGUUAAGUAACUGGCCCAGGGUCACACAGCCAGGAAGCCCAAAAGCCAGGAGUUGGCUCACAUUUUUAAUCUCUGCACUCUGCUGCCUAUGGAUUUGUUGGUUUCCUUCUUUUUCCAAUCAUUAAAUUAUCCUAACAGUUUUAUUGAGAUAUAAUUUAUAUACCGUAAACAUCACCCAUUUUAAGUGUACAAUUGAACAAUUUUAGUAAACUUAUCAAAUUGUGCAACCAUCACAACAAGCCAACUUUAGAGCAUUUCUAUCACCCUGGGAAAGAUUCUUUGUGCCCUUUUGCAGUCACUGUUAGUUCCAACCUCUGCUUGAAGCAACCAUUAAUCUUUCUGUCUCUGUAGAUUUGUCCUGGAAAUUUCCUAUACAUAGAAUCAUACAAUACGUGGUCUUUUGAGUCUAGCUUCUGUCACUUAACAUGAUGUAUUUGAGGUAGAUCCAUAUUGCAGCAUGUAUCACUCCAUUCGUUUUUGUGAUCUAAUAAUAUUCCAUUAUAUGGAUUUACUGCAUUUAGUUUAUCCAUUCACCAGCCGAGAGGCUUUUCCAUUGUUUCCACUUUUUGGCUGUGAUAAAUAAAGCUGCUAUGAACAUCUGUGUACAAGCCUUUGACUGGACAUAUAUUUCUCUUUCUCUUUAGGUAUAUGCCUAGGAGUGGAAUUGCUGAUUUGUGUGGUACAUUUAUGUUUACUUGUUGUAAAAACUGCUAAAUCUAUUUCCCAAAGUGCUGCACCAUUUUCCAUUCCACAGCCAUGGAUUUUAUAGACUGUGAGGUCCCGAUGCAAAUCCUAGGGCCACCCAUACAAGCAGACAGAGCCCAAUUUAGGGUCCUGGAACCAACCUAGGUGUAAAAUGAAGCCAUCUGGGGAUGGGGGGGACUGAGUCAAGCUCAGCCUCUCUGCAGCUUCUGAUGUCUGAGAAACAGGUGGGCAAGAAAUCAGCUGUUCUACUUUCUAAUCCAGAAAAACAUUGCCCUCUGGGACCUAGAGCACUUGUUAGGGGAAAAUCAGCAAAGUGGCGAUAACACCAAAAGGAAAAACAGAAACACACUGUGGAGACGUCAAGGGCGAUCUCAGCAAAGGAAGAAAACCAGCUUGAGAAGGCAGCAGUAAAGGCAGUUGGCCUGCAGCUCCCAUGCUCCGGAAGCCUUUAGUUCCCACUGCCAGCAUCCUCAGAGCCCUUUCCGACUACCUCGGAGGCCAGCGAGAGGAUAAUGGGGUGAUGGCAAGGGGGAGCCCCAGGACUCAGCUGCCUAUGGCUCUGAACAGACAGUGCUGGUCCAGCCAGGGAAGGCCUUCUCCAGAGGGGCACUGCUGGAGGAAGGAAGGAAGGAACGCCGCUGCCCGCCUGCCAGCCAGGAUAGCUCUGAGUGUCACCAGCUCUCCAGUUUGUGCCACAUGUUAUCUAAGGAGUCAUUUCACUAUUUAAUAAAGAGAUCCAGCUUUUGAUAGAGAGAAUUUGACAUGUCUGGCAGCAGCUGCAAAGGACAGAACUUUAUAAUGAUGGCCCGUGGUGGGUGUCUACACACACAACUGCCUGCCCAGCUUCCUCCUGACACGUCCCCUCACAUGGGAGUGAAACCGACAUGGCACUGCUGAAACACACAGAGUACACAGGGAUGGCACAGGGGGCAUGCCUUGCAGAAUGGAAUGGGCCUCUGCUUGCUGCUGAAUGCCACGUGCUCAGGACAGGUGGUAACUGUACUGGGUCGAAUUGCGUCCCUUCAAAUUCAUGUCCACAAGGACGCUGUGAAGGUGCUCCUAUUUGGAAAUAGGGCCUUUGCAGGUAUAAUUAAAGGGAAAUGAGGUCAUAUCAGAUUACAGUGGGCCGUAAUCCAAUGACUGGUAUUCUUUCCUAUAAGAGGGAAAUUUGGGCACAGACACAGAGAAGACACCGUGUGAAGACACAGACACAGAGGAGAGAAACUCAUAUGAAGACAAAGGCAGAGGCUGGGGUGAUACAGCUAUAAACCAAGGGACCCCAAGUGUUGCCAGGAAACCCCCAGAAGCCAGGACAAAACAAAGUAGGAUCCUUCCCUAGAGAUUUCAGAGGGACCAUGGCCCUACUAACACCUUGAUUUUAGACUCGUGACCCCCAGAACUGUGAGAUAAUACAUUCCUGUGGUUUAAAGCCACCCAGUUUAUGGUGCUUUGCCAAGGCAGCUCCAGGAAAUGGAACAAAAGCUGAGCCCAGGCUGCAGGUAACAAACUGUCCAUGCUGGCAGGUGGCAGAGGGGGAAGGACAGGCAGAGAGGGCCGCAUGGAGGAGGCACCUCCUUUAGUUGUGCCUGAGGUUCAGGCAGAAGGCCCAGAGAACAGAAGUGAAACUAGAGGCUCAGCAUGGCUCCUGGUAGAAUUGGCUUUAAUGGCUCAAGUUUUUUCAUCUUUGCUUCCUCCAACUUGCCUGGAACAGGUACUGCACACGGAUUGGCUCAGCUAGGCAGCUGGUGAGCUAGAGAAAUGGGAAUGACCCUCCACAUCAGCCUGACACCGGGUAUUAAAUCACUGCACCAAGUAUGUCAACACAACGCCCAGGUGGCCGCUGGACAAUAAGGCCACAGGGCCCCAGAGAGUGGCUGGACUUUGCUGUCUCGUCUGUACCUUGUGUGAGAGCUUGAGACUCAGAGGAGCCCGUGGGGCACAUGGAGGUGAACUUAGUCCCAGAUACAUUGUAUGGACGUGGUCAUGGGACACCAGUACUCAACAGGGAACUCUCAGCUGCAGGCUCCUGGCCUGAGCAGACCUUCUCAGAAUGGCCAAAGUGCCUGUCCUCAGGAGCCAGGACUCCAGCUCAAUCUUAGCUACAAGACUCCAACCAAAAUCUUGGGGGGGAUAGAGGCCACAUUCUGUCCCUGCAGGAGGCCUCUCAGGCUCCCUGAGAACCUGUUUCUAGUUCUCUAGUGGAUUUCAGUUGACAGAACUCUCUACUUCAGCAUCCCUGGGUCCCAGGGCUGAAGCUGCAUCUAAGAACCUGAGCCCUGAAGGCCAGGGCGGGUUUGCUGACAGAGGCGCAGGGCCAUCUGAUGUCAGACCUGAAAGGGCCCCAGGGCCAGUCCAAGCCUAGACCAUCUCCACUGUGGGAGAAUAGGGGGUAGGUCUGGAGACAGAAAGGGGUCCUCUUUCUUUCUACAUGGGUCUUGGCUGUGCAGUUACUGGCCCGAUGACCACACUGGGCCUGGGACUCUAUGCCUCCUCUGCCUUGGUUGGCAUAGUGAGGAGUGACCAGAAUCCUCCCCUUCCCCUACCCUAAGCAGCAGCCUGGGUGACUGGGGCAGGGCAGCUUCCCUGGCUGAGUCCAUUGUUUUAAAGGACAAUCCUCUCCCCCUCUCCCCUCCCUGGUGGUCUGCCAUCAGCCUAGGCACAGAAAAGAACAUCACUAACACAGGCUGGAAUGGGUCACAGGCACAGGCUUUAUCAGGCGACAAGGAUCAUUGAUUGGCCAUGAGUCGCAGUCCUGUGGGUGAAGAACAAGCCACAGAUACUGGAGCAUCAAUAUCUGGGGGUCUUUGUGAUGGUGUCCAGAGAGUCCAGACCACUGAGGAGGUGGCGUCCACAGUGGAUGAAUACACAACGGGCAGGCCAGGUUCUGCCAGUGACCCCAAGCAGAGCACCAGCCCCUGUGGCCACCUACCCCGCUGUGCCCUCUGCUCCUAUGUCACUUGACCCAAAGCAGGUGGGGAGCAGGAGGCAGGGAGCCAGCAUCAGGGUGCAGAAAGGGCAGGGAGGGGACAAAGCCCAGAGGAGAGCUGGAGCCACCUCUCGGAGGAAGACCUGGCCCCAUCCCCUCCCCACUCCUACUGAGACCUUCCGCUGCAGUCAGCAAGGGAUGCAGGGCCCGGGGCUGAGUGCUGGGAAGGAGGGGCGGGUGUGAAGGGGGAAGGCAAAUGGGUGGAGCCGGUGCUGGAGCUGUCCCAGAGCUGGCUCAGAGCCCUGGGGAGGGAGCUGACCCUCUGAGCCUGGGUUAAGACGGAGGAGGAGGGAGUCAGCUCUCGACCCCAAAACCACCUGUUUCCUCUCACUCUAGCACUGGUGGAGGGGAAGCUGCUCAGGACAGGGCGCCACAGCUGGAGAGGGACGUGAUCAGAUGCAGGACAGAGCAGACAGGUCCUGGCACGGGCCAGGAGCUGAGACACUCAACACUGAUGGCUGCAAACCACCCGCACCAUCAGCCGGGGGCUCCCUCAGGGCUGGCUUUGGUGUCUAUCAGAAAAGGGUCUGAGGUCCUAGUCCCACCCGCUCAAUGCUUCUGCCAGGCAGGACAGGGCCAAGGAGCAAUAGUGGUUGCAUUUCCUUUAAAACUACUGUUUCAUUAAAAAACAAAACAAAACAAAACAAAAAACUAGCUCUGAACAUGAAGAAUUAUAUCCAAGAAAGACACCUUGACAUUUUUUGCUUUAUUAAACAUCAUUCACUGAGAAUUUCCAAAGCACUGUGUGGUGCCUAGACCUGUGUACCAGCGCUCUGGGGGUCGG